This 125-nucleotide small RNA is filed under the name Marmota monax (woodchuck). Lineage: Eukaryota; Metazoa; Chordata; Mammalia; Rodentia; Sciuridae. The record is from RNAcentral.
GCUGGGUGCAGGGGCGCAUGCCUGUGAUCCCAGCGGCUAGGGAGGCUGAGGCAGGAGGAUCGUGAGUUUGAGAUCAGCCUCAGCAAUGGCGAGGCCCUAAGCAACUUAGUGAGAGCCUGUCUCUG